UCGAGAAUCUUCGGCAAUGGGCGAAAGCCUGACCGAGCGACGCCGCGUGCGGGAUGAAGGCCUUCGGGUUGUAAACCGCUGUCAGAGGGGAUGAAAUCCCAUAGGGCUAUCCCUAUGGGUUGACAUAUCCUCAGAGGAAGGACGGGCUAAGUUCGUGCCAGCAGCCGCGGUAAGACGAACCGUCCGAACGUUAUUCGGAAUUACUGGGCUUAAAGGGUGCGUAGGCGGCGCGGCAAGUUGGGUGUGAAAUCCCUCGGCUCAACCGAGGAAUUGCGCCCAAAACUGCCGCACUCGAGGGAGACAGAGGUGAGCGGAACUUAGGGUGGAGCGGUGAAAUGCGUUGAUAUCCUAAGGAACACCGGUGGCGAAAGCGGCUCACUGGGUCUCUUCUGACGCUGAGGCACGAAAGCUAGGGUAGCGAACGGGAUUAGAUACCCCCGUAGUCC
This 446-nucleotide ribosomal RNA is filed under the name uncultured prokaryote. Its description in RNAcentral is "bacterial SSU rRNA". It matches the Rfam family "Bacterial small subunit ribosomal RNA", at positions 355 to 796 of the family's 1533-position model. The record is from RNAcentral.